Molecule: unclassified non-coding RNA, 269 nt
Filed under: Lactarius aquizonatus
Lineage: Eukaryota; Fungi; Basidiomycota; Agaricomycetes; Russulales; Russulaceae
Description: partial internal transcribed spacer 2
Source: RNAcentral
AUAUCUCAACCUUCUCGGUUUCUUCUGGACACCGAAGGAGGCUUGGACUUUGGAGGCCUUUGCUGGCGUCUCUCUCUUCUGAAACCCAGCUCCUCUUAAAUGAAUUAGCGGGGUCCUCUUUGCUGAUCCUCGACGUGUGAUAAGAUGUUUCCAUGUCUUGGUUUCUGGCUCUGUUGCUCCUGGGACCCGCUUCUAACCGUCUCAACCUUGCAUCGAGACAAUGUUUGAGCGCGUCUCCCUUCUCGGGAAAUGCUCUCAACCCCACGAAC